AUAUAGGAGCUGCCGGCCGUGGCCGGCUAUGGCGAUAAAGCCUGCCCGGAAUAGGCGCGGCGGACCCGGGGGCAGUACCCGGCGCCUCCACCAACGCCGUUUCGCUCGCGGGGGCGAAAUAGGUUCGACGCCGCGUGGCAAAGGGGCAGAGUUCGCCCGGCAUGGUACCGCCGUUAUCGGGCCACCCUUACAAGUGCCAACGAUAACCGUUUGGCUCUCGCUGCCUAACGCUUAGGUAAGCGCGGCCGGGAGAGGCCGGGCAACAGAACUCUCCCGACAAGUCCGGGGACUUCGGUCCCCGGCGCGGCUCGGAGGGCGC
Molecule: transfer-messenger RNA, 319 nt
Filed under: bacterium HR40
Lineage: Bacteria
Description: transfer-messenger RNA, SsrA
Rfam family: Alphaproteobacteria transfer-messenger RNA (bases 1-279)
About the family: Bacterial tmRNA, also known as 10Sa RNA or SsrA, is named for its dual tRNA and mRNA-like properties. Its role is to liberate the mRNA from a stalled ribosome.
Source: RNAcentral